Molecule: small nucleolar RNA, 124 nt
Filed under: Octodon degus (degu)
Lineage: Eukaryota; Metazoa; Chordata; Mammalia; Rodentia; Octodontidae
Description: Small nucleolar RNA SNORA51 (ENSODEG00000023538.1)
Rfam family: Small nucleolar RNA SNORA51
About the family: ACA51 is a member of the H/ACA class of snoRNA that guide the sites of modification of uridines to pseudouridines.
Source: Rfam by way of RNAcentral
UGCCUCCUGGUGCUUACCACAGGCAGUGUUUUAUGCUGACUGUAUAGAAAAGGGAGGAAAAGUAAAUUUGCCCCAUAUGCACCUCAGCCCAGGCCUUGUCUGUAUUGUGAAUGGGGAAACAGGC